UACGUAGGCAGCGAGCGUUGUUCGGAGUUACUGGGCGUAAAGGGUGUGUAGGCGGUUGUUUAAGUUUGGUGUGAAAUCUCUCGGCUCAACUGGGAGGGUGCGCCGAAUACUGAAUGACUUGGAGUGCGGGAGAGGAAAGUGGAAUUCCUGGUGUAGCGGUGAAAUGCGUAGAUAUCAGGAGGAACACCGGUGGUGUAGACGGCUUUCUGGACCGUAACUGACGCUGAGACACGAAAGCGUGGGUAGCAAACAGG
RNAcentral lists this ribosomal RNA (254 nucleotides) under uncultured bacterium. RNAcentral's name for it is "partial 16S ribosomal RNA". It matches the Rfam family "Bacterial small subunit ribosomal RNA", at positions 524 to 776 of the family's 1533-position model. The record is from RNAcentral.